Molecule: non-coding RNA, 147 nt
Filed under: Bathycoccus prasinos
Lineage: Eukaryota; Viridiplantae; Chlorophyta; Mamiellophyceae; Mamiellales; Bathycoccaceae
Source: RNAcentral
CUUUUUUUUCUCUCUCUCUCUCUCUGUUGUAAAUUGCUUCAUUGUAUAUAAAGAAGAAGGACGAGAAGACAAACGAAGCGAAGAAGAAGAAGAAGAAAUCAGAGAAGAAGAAGCACUUUUCGUUCUUUUAUUCUUUUAUAGAGUCUU